Molecule: non-coding RNA, 930 nt
Filed under: Trichomonas vaginalis G3
Lineage: Eukaryota; Parabasalia; Trichomonadida; Trichomonadidae
Description: Eukaryotic small subunit ribosomal RNA
Rfam family: Eukaryotic small subunit ribosomal RNA
Source: Rfam by way of RNAcentral
UACUUGGUUGAUCCUGCCAAGGAAGCACACUUAGGUCAUAGAUUAAGCCAUGCAAGUGUUAGUUCAGGUAACGAAACUGCGAAUAGCUCAUUAAUACGCUCAGAAUCUAUUUGGCGGCGACCAACAGGUCUUAAAUGGAUAGCAGCAGCAACUCUGGUGCUAAUACAUGCGAUUGUUUCUCCAGAUGUGAAUUAUGGAGGAAAAGUUGACCUCAUCAGAGGCACGCCAUUCGACUGAGUGACCUAUCAGCUUGUACUUAGGGUCUUUACCUAGGUAGGCUAUCACGGGUAACGGGCGGUUACCGUCGGACUGCCGGAGAAGGCGCCUGAGAGAUAGCGACUAUAUCCACGGGUAGCAGCAGGCGCGAAACUUUCCCACUCGAGACUUUCGGAGGAGGUAAUGACCAGUUCCAUUGGUGCCUUUUGGUACUGUGGAUAGGGGUACGGUUUUCCACCGUACCGAAACCUAGCAGAGGGCCAGUCUGGUGCCAGCAGCUGCGGUAAUUCCAGCUCUGCGAGUUUGCUCCCAUAUUGUUGCAGUUAAAACGCCCGUAGUCUGAAUUGGCCAGCAAUGGUCGUACGUAUUUUUACGUUCACUGUGAACAAAUCAGGACGCUUAGAGUAUGGCCACAUGAAUGACUCAGCGCAGUAUGAAGUCUUUGUUUUCUUCCGAAAACAAGCUCAAUGAGAGCCAUCGGGGGUAGAUCUAUCUCAUGACGAGUGGUGGAAUACUUUGACUCAUGAGAGAGAAGCUGAGGCGAAGGCGUCUACCUAGAGGGUUUCUGUCGAUCAAGGGCGAGAGUAGGAGUAUCCAACAGGAUUAGAGACCCUGGUAGUUCCUACCUUAAACGAUGCCGACAGGAGUUUGUCAUUUGUUAAUGGCAGAAUCUUUGGAGAAAUCAUAGUUCUUGGGCUCUGGGGGAACUACGAC